Molecule: non-coding RNA, 1169 nt
Organism: Parasteatoda tepidariorum (common house spider)
Lineage: Eukaryota; Metazoa; Arthropoda; Arachnida; Araneae; Theridiidae
Source: RefSeq, a predicted model, not a curated record
UUUUCCGUUUAAAGUUACUGAUGCAGAGCAAGGAGUCCCAAAAUAGUCAGUGCGCCAAAACAUCGAUAAAGUGAGCCAAAGGGUGAGUGCGGCGAAGUUCCCUCUUACUGUAGGGGUUGCAUCCAUUUAGGAGUCAGUUGAAGCGUUGCCUUGUGGUACGAAGGUUGAAUCGAAAAGACGUGAAGCCCUGAUUAGUGAUGUCGGAAAAGAAAUAGAGCGACAAUUAGGACUGCCUGCUAGCACAAUUGAGGUGAAGUCUUGUCUUCAAAGCUACUGCAACAGGAGGUUUGUUGACCGUCCGCAUCGAAUGUUUGUUGAUCAUCUUCAUGAACUGUUUGCUAAUAGUCUUCAUUAACUGUUGUUGAUUGUCCUCAUAAAAUGUUUCCUGAACGUCCUCAUCGACUGUUUGCUGAUCGUCUCAUCGAGUGUUUGCUGAUCUUCCUCAUGAACUGUUUGCUGAGGCUCUACGUACUGUUGGUGCUACAAUGCCUGUUCCCACUCACAUGGUCCCUCCACCUAUCCUUUAUCCGGAUUUUCCAUGCUCCUACAGUUUUAUUAUUUAGAAAGAUUCCACCACCAUCACCUUCGCUGCUAAAAACAGCUGCAUCUCAAAUACCUGUUCCACACAGUAUACAUGCUUCACCACUUCCUCCGAAAGUAUUCAGCAGCCUACAUCUGACUACGAGAGACGAAGCAAAAGCUUGGACAUUAGCCUGCGAGAUCCAACUCGACAUUGUUUCCAGUGCCAGAAGAUGUUUUCAAGGAUUGUAACUUCUUGAACUCAUGGACUUUACCUUGGACACUAAUUAAAAUUUUUCACUUUUAGAGAACUAGGUUCCUCACCAGGUGCGUCAAUGAAUUUCUCGGUAAUCCCUCGUCUGUGGCGGGGGAGGGAUGAUGCAGAGCAAGGAGUCCCAAAAUAGUAAGUGCGCCAAAAACAUCGAUAAAGUGAGCCAAAGGGUGAGUUUGGCGAAGUUCCUUCUUACUGUAGGGGUUGCAUCCAUUUAGGAGUCAGUUGAAGCGUUGUCAUGUGGUACGAAGGUUGAAUCGAAAAGACAUGACGCCCUGGUGAAUAAUCUUAGCUUCUCCCCCCCUUAUUGGGUUACUUAGUGUAAUGGAAUCAAUUUGUAAUCAAGAGAAUUUUAAUCAUUAAAAUCUUAAAUUGACUU